AUACCCACCCAUACAGGGUGUCACAAUACAGUAUAUAAUGUACUGGCAAACAGGGGUUCAGGGGGCAGAGUGAGAAUAAAAGAGGCGCCAUUCUGCCUAUUAUCAGUUAUUUUUUAGUUAUUUAAGAUCAUGCUGCUCCCAGUCAGUCCAGCAGUACCUCUCAGUGUGGUCUGUUCCAGUCACCUUUGCCUGAUGUCCACACCCACCUACAUACCUGCUCUUCAUUCAAACAUUAGUCCAGUAUAUAUAUCCAGUCUCCUCCAAAAGUAUUGGAACGCUGGGCAGACCAAAUAAUAAUCCCCCCGACUGACCAGAGGAGGGCAGCCUGGUUAGAGUUCACGCUUCCCAUCAGUUCCUCAUUGGCCUUCAGUGUUUCCCCCACUAGAGAGUGCCAGAUGCAGUGAUUUUUCCCAGUCAGAGGAGGAGGGAGAGGAAUCUUUUCAUGUGCCGCCUUUCUGACUACCUGCCUGAGUGACUUACUCACUGCUUCAGCCUGACCUAAUAAAUCACAUUACCGGGGCCAGCAGUGUAAUUACUGGCCAUCUGUCGGGCCUCUUUUUUUAACUCUGGGCUGGAGUGUGUGGACUGGACUGGACAAGAGUCAGCAGAGUGGAAUGGACAGAAAUCCAAUGGAGUGGACUGAGCUGGAUUCAGCAACCUGGCCAGGAUAUACCCCACUUUUCGCCCGAUGUCAGCUGGGAUUGGCUCCUAACCCCCCCCACCCGACCCUGUACACAGGAUAAGCGGUGACAAUGGAUGGAUGGAUGGCCAUUUCUUUUCUCUAAAUAAAAUGUCAGGAUAUUUUUUUAAAUUCAUGAUCGUGUGACUGCUUGCAUUUGUUGCCCCAUUGGAACUAUUUUUAGCAAUGCAGUUGUCAUGAACCAUUGUUUUCCUUGGCUGAAAAUUACUUUUCUGCUUUGGCUGCACUAAUUUUAUCAACUAGUUGACUAAUCAGUACUCCUGCCUAAGUGUCAGCGGACAGGUUUAGGUAAACUGGUACAUAGAUACAUUUCUCUGUUAAAGAUGGUAUUGAUGGUU
Long non-coding RNA from Micropterus dolomieu (smallmouth bass), 1038 nucleotides. RefSeq lists it as uncharacterized. The record is from RefSeq and is a predicted model, not a curated record. NCBI's taxonomy places the organism in Eukaryota, Metazoa, Chordata, Actinopteri, Centrarchiformes, Centrarchidae. The transcript is spliced from 5 exons.